UACGUAGGGUGCGAGUGUUAAUCGGAAUUACUGGGCGUAAAGCGUGCGCAGGCGGUUUUGUAAGCCAGAUGUGAAAGCCCCGGGCUUAACCUGGGAAUGGCAUUUGGGACUGCAAGGCUGGAGUGUGGCAGAGGAGACUGGAAUUCCUGGUGUAGCAGUGAAAUGCGUAGAUAUCAGGAGGAAUACCGAUGGCGAAGGCAGGUCUCUGGGCUGACACUGACGCUCAUGCACGAAAGCGUGGGGAGCAAACAGG
This 253-nucleotide ribosomal RNA is filed under the name uncultured bacterium. RNAcentral describes it as "partial 16S ribosomal RNA". It matches the Rfam family "Bacterial small subunit ribosomal RNA", at positions 524 to 776 of the family's 1533-position model. The record is from RNAcentral.